Molecule: transfer RNA, 73 nt
Filed under: Deltaproteobacteria bacterium
Lineage: Bacteria; Pseudomonadati; Myxococcota; Myxococcia
Also listed under: 1 other name
Description: tRNA-Leu
Rfam family: tRNA
About the family: Transfer RNA (tRNA) molecules are approximately 80 nucleotides in length. Their secondary structure includes four short double-helical elements and three loops (D, anti-codon, and T loops).
Source: RNAcentral
GCCGCAAUGGCCCAAUGGCAGAGGCAGCAGGCUUAAACCCUGUACGGUGUGGGUUCGAAUCCCACUUGCGGUA